GACGAACGCUGGCGGCGUGCUUAACACAUGCAAGUCGAACGGUAAGGCCCUUCGGGGUACACGAGUGGCGAACGGGUGAGUAACACGUGGGUGAUCUGCCCUGCACUUCGGGAUAAGCCUGGGAAACUGGGUCUAAUACCGGAUAGGACCACUGCCUGCAUGGGUGGUGGUGGAAAGCUUUUGCGGUGUGGGAUGGGCCCGCGGCCUAUCAGCUUGUUGGUGGGGUGAUGGCCUACCAAGGCGACGACGGGUAGCCGGCCUGAGAGGGUGACCGGCCACACUGGGACUGAGAUACGGCCCAGAUUCCUACGGGAGGCAGCAGUGGGGAAUAUUGCACAAUGGGCGCAAGCCUGAUGCAGCGACGCCGCGUGAGGGAUGACGGCCUUCGGGUUGUAAACCUCUUUCAGCACCGACGAAGCGCAAGUGACGGUAGGUGCAGAAGAAGGACCGGCCAACUACGUGCGAGCCGCCGCCGCGG
RNAcentral lists this ribosomal RNA (478 nucleotides) under uncultured bacterium. RNAcentral describes it as "partial 16S ribosomal RNA". It matches the Rfam family "Bacterial small subunit ribosomal RNA", at positions 28 to 523 of the family's 1533-position model. The record is from RNAcentral.